RNAcentral lists this non-coding RNA (29 nucleotides) under Rattus norvegicus (Norway rat). The record is from RNAcentral. Lineage: Eukaryota; Metazoa; Chordata; Mammalia; Rodentia; Muridae.
UGAGGGUCUCUUCCUGUAUGAGGGUCUCU